RNAcentral lists this unclassified non-coding RNA (281 nucleotides) under Hevea brasiliensis (rubber tree). The record is from RNAcentral. Lineage: Eukaryota; Viridiplantae; Streptophyta; Magnoliopsida; Malpighiales; Euphorbiaceae.
UGCCUGCUAGACCUUUAAGUUUUUAAGAAUCCAUGGUCCAAGUAAUUCUUAAACACUUGAAAUUUUUUAUCAUUUGACAGUAAUCCUGUGGAAACAUGGUCUUCUCUCACUAUCUGCCAUGACCUUACCAGAUUUUUUGGUCGGCUAAGAAUUAUCAUUAUUUGCCAUGACCUGUGGCCACAAAUUUCAGCAUCUUUACACUUUUUAUUGGUGCACAACCUUUCCUUACCUCUGUUGCUUUGUCUGCCUAAGAAACAAAUGGCUUUGAUCAAUCGGUGAGA